RNAcentral lists this ribosomal RNA (587 nucleotides) under Ammodytes personatus (Pacific sandeel). RNAcentral's name for it is "partial 16S ribosomal RNA". It matches the Rfam family "Bacterial large subunit ribosomal RNA", at positions 1810 to 2602 of the family's 2925-position model. The record is from RNAcentral. Lineage: Eukaryota; Metazoa; Chordata; Actinopteri; Uranoscopiformes; Ammodytidae.
AAAACAUCGCCUCUUGCAAAAUAAUGAAUAAGAGGUCCCGCCUGCCCUGUGACUCUAAGUUUAACGGCCGCGGUAUUUUGACCGUGCGAAGGUAGCGCAAUCACUUGUCUUUUAAAUGGAGACCUGUAUGAAUGGCAUAACGAGGGCUUAGCUGUCUCCUUUCUCUAGUCAAUGAAAUUGAUCUCCCCGUGCAGAAGCGGGGAUAGAACCAUAAGACGAGAAGACCCUAUGGAGCUUUAGACGCCAAGACAGACCAUGUUAAACACCUCCCCAUAAGGAGCCCAAACCAAAUGGUCCCUGCCCUAGUGUCUUUGGUUGGGGCGACCGCGGGGAAACAUAAAACCCCCAUGUGGAAUGGGAGCACCCUCUCCUACAACUAAGAGCUACAGCUCUAAUGAACAGAAUUUCUGACCAACAAGAUCCGGCAAUGCCGAUCAACGGACCGAGUUACCCUAGGGAUAACAGCGCAAUCCCCUUUUAGAGCCCAUAUCGACAAGGGGGUUUACGACCUCGAUGUUGGAUCAGGACAUCCUAAUGGUGCAGCCGCUAUUAAGGGUUCGUUUGUUCAACGAUUAAAGUCCUACGUG